Long non-coding RNA from Hibiscus syriacus, 209 nucleotides. RefSeq lists it as uncharacterized. NCBI's taxonomy places the organism in Eukaryota, Viridiplantae, Streptophyta, Magnoliopsida, Malvales, Malvaceae. The transcript has 3 exons. The record is from RefSeq and is a predicted model, not a curated record.
AAGGAAUCCCCAAUUAUGAGAAAGAGGAGUCUGUUCGAAGUGAUGUAAUCAAUUCGAGUAUUCGGGUUACGGACAAUGGAAGGGCGAGCAUUAACAGGAAGGUUUGCUUCGUUUUCACUCUUUACAGUACUUCAUAUGAUAAUGAUCAGCUUAAGGCAAGUAAAACUGUGAGCUGUGUCGAUUUUGAUGUUGAACGUAUUACCUAUGUU